CUAUAGCAGGAUGGAUAUACUAUGUCAGGAUAGGGGCCUGUUCCAGGAUGGAUAGACUAUAACAGGAUAGGCAACUGUUCCAGGAUGGAUAGACUAUGUCAGGAGAAGCAAGUGUUCCAGGAUGAAUAGACUAUAACAGGAUGGAUAGACUAUAUCAGGAUAGGAAACUGUUCCAGGAUGGAUAGACUAUAAUAGGAUGGAUAGACUAUGUCAGGAU
Molecule: non-coding RNA, 217 nt
Organism: Penaeus vannamei (Pacific white shrimp)
Lineage: Eukaryota; Metazoa; Arthropoda; Malacostraca; Decapoda; Penaeidae
Source: RefSeq, a predicted model, not a curated record